This 429-nucleotide ribosomal RNA is filed under the name Itaxia falklandica. Its description in RNAcentral is "partial 16S ribosomal RNA". It matches the Rfam family "Bacterial large subunit ribosomal RNA", at positions 1829 to 2598 of the family's 2925-position model. Lineage: Eukaryota; Metazoa; Mollusca; Gastropoda; Nudibranchia; Coryphellidae. The record is from RNAcentral.
AGCCAUUAGAUGAUAUUUAUGGUUAAACCUGCCCAAUGUGAUAUGAAUGGCCGCGGUACCUUGACCGUGCUAAGGUAGCGUAAUCAGUUGGCUUUUAAAUGGAGUCAGGAAUGAAUGGAAUAACCGGGUUUAGCUGUCUCCAUACUAUUUUUUUGAAUUUACUGUUUAAGUGAAAAAGCUUAAAGUUGAUAAAGGGACGAGAAGACCCUUAGAAUUUUUUUUAAAGCAUAUAUUUGCAAUAAUUUUGUUGGGGCGACAGAGAAAUAGUUAAAACUUUCUUUAAUUACAUGCCGAUAUUGCUAAGCAAGAAUAAAUUACCUGAGGGAUAACAGCAUUAUUCUACAGUUGAGUUUGUGACCUCGAUGUUGGACUAGGAAACUAACAGGCUAGCCGUUUGUUGUGUGGGUUCUGUUCGAACUUUAAUUCCUA